Molecule: ribosomal RNA, 683 nt
Filed under: uncultured bacterium
Lineage: Bacteria
Description: bacterial SSU rRNA
Rfam family: Bacterial small subunit ribosomal RNA
Source: RNAcentral
GGAAUCUGAUGCAUUGAUGCCGCGUGAGUGAAGAAGGCCUUUGGGUUGUAAAGCUCUUUUGUAGGGGAAGAUAAUGACUGUACCCUAAGAAUAAGGUCCGGCUAACUUCGUGCCAGCAGCCGCGGUAAUACGAAGGGACCUAGCGUAGUUCGGAAUUACUGGGCGUAAAGCGCGCGUAGGCCGUUGAGUUAGUUAAUUGUGAAAUCCCAAAGCUUAACUUUGGAACUGCAAUUAAAACUGCUCGACUAGAGUUUGAUAGAGGAAAGCGGAAUACAUAGUGUAGAGGUGAAAUUCGUAGAUAUUAUGUAGAACACCUGUUGCGAAGGCGGCUUUCUGGGUCAACACUGACGCUGAGGCGCGAAAGUAUGGGUAGCAAAGAGGAUUAGAUACCCUCGUAGUCCAUACCAUAAACGAUGAUUGCUAGAUGUUGGAAAUUUAUUUUCAGUAUCGCAGCUAACGCAUUAAGCAAUCCGCCUGGGGAGUACGACCGCAAGGUUAAAACUCAAAUGAAUUGACGGGGACCCGCACAAGCGGUGGAGCAUGUGGUUUAAUUCGAAGAUACGCGCAGAACCUUACCAACCCUUGACAUGUCUGUCGCGAGUUUAGGAAACUAGACUUUUCGGUUCGGCCGGACAGAACACAGGUGCUGCAUGGUUGUCGUCAGCUCGUGUCGUGAGAUGUUG